GUGUCAGCAGCCGCGGUAAUACGUAGGUGACAAGCGUUGUCCGGAUUUAUUGGGCGUAAAGCGAGCGCAGGCGGUCUUUUAAGUCUGAUGUGAAAGCCCACGGCUCAACCGUGGAUGGUCAUUGGAAACUGGAGGACUUGAAUACAGAAGAGGAAAGUGGAAUUCCAUGUGUAGCGGUGAAAUGCGUAGAUAUAUGGAGGAACACCAGUGGCGAAGGCGACUUUCUGGUCUGUUAUUGACGCUGAGGCUCGAAAGCGUGGGGAGCGAACAGGAUUAGAUACCCCUGUAGUCC
This 292-nucleotide ribosomal RNA is filed under the name uncultured prokaryote. RNAcentral describes it as "partial 16S ribosomal RNA". It matches the Rfam family "Bacterial small subunit ribosomal RNA", at positions 505 to 796 of the family's 1533-position model. The record is from RNAcentral.